UCACCCCUCAAGCCCCGUGCUUGGUGUUGGACGGCCGGUCGCCUCACCGCGACCCCUCCGAAAGACAAUGACGGCGGCCUGUGGUUCCCCCGGUACACUGAGCUUUUCACGGAGCACGUACCGGACGAGGGCGCCCGGGACCCGGUCUUCUCCUUUAGCUAGGAAACUUUUAAUGG
This 176-nucleotide unclassified non-coding RNA is filed under the name uncultured Cladophialophora. RNAcentral's name for it is "sequence contains ITS2". The record is from RNAcentral. Lineage: Eukaryota; Fungi; Ascomycota; Eurotiomycetes; Chaetothyriales; Herpotrichiellaceae.